CCUACGGGAGGCAGCAGUGGGGAAUUUUGGACAAUGGACGCAAGUCUGAUCCAGCCAUUCCGCGUGCAGGAUGAAGGCCCUCGGGUUGUAAACUGCUUUUGUACGGAACGAAAAGGUCUCUCCUAAUACGAGGGGCUCAUGACGGUACCGUAAGAAUAAGCACCGGCUAACUACGUGCCAGCAGCCGCGGUAAUACGUAGGGUGCAAGCGUUAAUCGGAAUUACUGGGCGUAAAGCGUGCGCAGGCGGUUACAUAAGACAGUUGUGAAAUCCCCGGGCUUAACCUGGGAAUUGCAUCUGUGACUGUAUAGCUAGAGUACGGUAGAGGGGGAUGGAAUUCCGCGUGUAGCAGUGAAAUGCGUAGAUAUGCGGAGGAACACCGAUGGCGAAGGCAAUCCCCUGGACCUGUACUGACGCUCAUGCACGAAAGCGUGGGGAGCAAACAGGAUUAGAUACCCUGGUAGUCCACGCCCUAAACGAUGUCAACUGGUUGUUGGGUGCAUUAGUACUCAGUAACGAAGCUAACGCGUGAAGUUGACCGCCUGGGGAGUACGGCCGCAAGGUUGAAACUCAAAUG
Molecule: ribosomal RNA, 576 nt
Filed under: uncultured bacterium
Lineage: Bacteria
Description: bacterial SSU rRNA
Rfam family: Bacterial small subunit ribosomal RNA
Source: RNAcentral